CUUUUUCCCCCUCUUCUCCUUGAACAUGCCCAAUUUCAUCUAAUCUAGGAAACUAAGCAGAGUAAGCCGGGCUCAGUUGGGAGACAGU
RNAcentral lists this ribosomal RNA (88 nucleotides) under Dipodomys ordii (Ord's kangaroo rat). Lineage: Eukaryota; Metazoa; Chordata; Mammalia; Rodentia; Heteromyidae. The record is from RNAcentral.